UACGAAGGGGGCUAGCGUUGUUCGGAUUUACUGGGCGUAAAGCGCACGUAGGCGGAUCGAUCAGUCAGGGAUGAAAUCCCAGAGCUCAACUCUGGAACUGCCUUUGAUACUGUCGAUCUGGAGUAUGGAAGAGGUGAGUGGAAUUCCGAGUGUAGAGGUGAAAUUCGUAGAUAUUCGGAGGAACACCAGUGGCGAAGGCGGCUCACUGGCCCGAUACUGACGCUGAGGCACGAAAGCGUGGGGAGCAAACAGG
RNAcentral lists this ribosomal RNA (253 nucleotides) under uncultured bacterium. RNAcentral describes it as "partial 16S ribosomal RNA". It matches the Rfam family "Bacterial small subunit ribosomal RNA", at positions 524 to 776 of the family's 1533-position model. The record is from RNAcentral.